CAUCUCUUCCAGCUCAAUGUCCCAGGAGCUGACUCAGCUCCAGACUCAUCGUCCCUAAGGCCCUUUGUGAAUAGCUCCCUCUGAGGAGUCCACAUGUUUCCCAUGGGGAUUGGAAAUUCUCAUUCCCAAGGUCUUUGGACCUCUCAUUAUCAGAACCUAAGGAAGAAUUCACGCAAAAACAGUUUACAGUCUUGGUUUCAGGUUGUUGCUGCUCCAAAAGAGCCUGAAGUGUGAAGAAAGAAAAGAAAGAAACAGAAUGGCCUUGAGGCAAAACAAUCUACAGCAGUACUUUUUAGAUGUGUGAGCGCGCCCCGCCGCAGUGUCAUGUGGAGGAAACCGCCAUGCCCCUGUUCUCUGGAAAGUUAACCCCGUCCUUAUAGUAACUCAC
RNAcentral lists this long non-coding RNA (388 nucleotides) under Rattus norvegicus (Norway rat). Its description in RNAcentral is "long non-coding RNA NONRATT031343". The record is from RNAcentral. Lineage: Eukaryota; Metazoa; Chordata; Mammalia; Rodentia; Muridae.